CAGUAGCCGCGGUAACACAGAGGAUGCAAGCGUUAUCCGGAAUGAUUGGGCAUAAAGCGUCUGUAGGUAGCUUCUCAAGUCUGCUGUCAAAUCCCAGGGCUCAACCCUUGACAGGUGGUGGAAACUACCAAGCUGGAGUACGAUAGGGGUAGAGGGAAUUUCUGGUGGAGUGGUGAAAUGCGUUGAGAUCGGAAAGAACACCAACGGCGAAAGAAAUCUAUUAGGCCGACACUGACACUGAGAGACAAAAGCUAGGAGAGCAAAUGGGAUUAGAUACCCCAGUAGUCCCUGUCUCUUAUAA
This 301-nucleotide ribosomal RNA is filed under the name uncultured bacterium. Its description in RNAcentral is "partial 16S ribosomal RNA". It matches the Rfam family "Bacterial small subunit ribosomal RNA", at positions 509 to 809 of the family's 1533-position model. The record is from RNAcentral.